UACGUAGGGGCUAGCGUUAUCCGGAAUUACUGGGCGUAAAGAGCUCGUAGGUGGUUUGUCGCGUCGUCUGUGAAAUUCCGGGGCUUAACCUCGGGCGUGCAGGCGAUACGGGCAAUACUUGAGUGCUGUAGGGGAGACUGGAAUUCCUGGUGUAGCGGUGAAAUGCGCAGAUAUCAGGAGGAACACCAAUGGCGAAGGCGACUUUCUGGACUGUAACUGACGCUGAGGCACGAAAGCGUGGGUAGCGAACAGGAUUAGAUACCCUGGUA
This 269-nucleotide ribosomal RNA is filed under the name uncultured prokaryote. RNAcentral describes it as "partial 16S ribosomal RNA". It matches the Rfam family "Bacterial small subunit ribosomal RNA", at positions 524 to 792 of the family's 1533-position model. The record is from RNAcentral.